GACGAACGCUGGCGGCGUGCUUAACACAUGCAAGUCGAACGGAAAGGCCCUGCUUUUGUGGGGUGCUCGAGUGGCGAACGGGUGAGUAACACGUGAGUAACCUGCCCUUGACUUUGGGAUAACUUCAGGAAACUGGGGCUAAUACCGGAUAGGAGCUCCUGCUGCAUGGUGGGGGUUGGAAAGUUUCGGCGGUUGGGGAUGGACUCGCGGCUUAUCAGCUUGUUGGUGGGGUAGUGGUUUACCAAGGCUUUGACGGGUAGCCGGCCUGAGAGGGUGACCGGCCACAUUGGGACUGAGAUACGGCCCAGACUCCUACGGGAGGCAGCAGUGGGGAAUAUUGCACAAUGGGGGGAAGCCUGAUGCAGCAACGCCGCGUGCGGGAUGACGGCCUUCGGGUUGUAAACCGCUUUCGCCUGUGACGAAGCGUGAGUGACGGUAAUGGGUAAAGAAGCACCGGCUAACUACGUG
This 468-nucleotide ribosomal RNA is filed under the name uncultured bacterium. RNAcentral's name for it is "partial 16S ribosomal RNA". It matches the Rfam family "Bacterial small subunit ribosomal RNA", at positions 28 to 507 of the family's 1533-position model. The record is from RNAcentral.